This 322-nucleotide ribosomal RNA is filed under the name Tubifex tubifex (sludge worm). Its description in RNAcentral is "partial 16S ribosomal RNA". It matches the Rfam family "Bacterial large subunit ribosomal RNA", at positions 2035 to 2592 of the family's 2925-position model. Lineage: Eukaryota; Metazoa; Annelida; Clitellata; Tubificida; Naididae. The record is from RNAcentral.
GUAAAAAUUUAUCUUUAAGUGAAGAAGCUUAAAUAAUUAUGCAGGACAAGAAGACCCUAUAGAGCUUUACCUAAACAUUACAUUAUAAGUAAUUAAGGGUUCGGUUGGGGCGACCUGGGGACAUAAAUCACCCCUUAAAAUUUAGACAAACACGUCAUUAAAAAGAUCCUAAACUAAGAUCAACGAAUCAAGCUACCUUAGGGAUAACAGGCUAAUCCUCUUAGAGAGCCCUUAUCGACAAGAGGGGUUGGCACCUCGAUGUUGGCUUAGGACUUCUUUACGCCGCAGCAGGCGUAACCAGAUGGUUUGUUCAACCAUUAAA